GCAUUAAUGAUAUAGGAUAAGCUUGUGGACUUUUGUUUCUCUCUCUCAUCCAACUUCUCCGACAAGCUUUUGCCGAUCUUCUCCUCCUCGCUCGAUCCCUACCUCAGCCGAAGAACCAUUUUAUUUCUGCAUUUCAUUUGGUUUCCUUCGGUCUGUCUUCAGCAUUUUCAACACCACCGAAGCCAUCGAUUUCCCUGCUGCCGUCUCCACAGUUGCCACGGCUUCAAACCGCAUCAUCAUCAUCACCGUCCACCAUCAUCCAACGACACCAUCAUGCUCCCUCAGCCCUCCGAUUCUCCCCACCGUUCCAUCCUCUUUCGUCCAACAGUCAACCGAGUAGUGCCCUCUCUCCACCGAAGCUUGCUCCACUUUCAAUCUCCUCUGCUUAUGUCUUCUUCGGUCAGAAUUUCCUCAGCUGAAGACCACGAAUCUCCACGGUUGCUGCCACAUGUCCAUGAAAGACCUCCCUUCGGUCAAGCUUCUUCUCCGGUGAGGUGUGGUUGACCGAAGCUGCCAGCGGACGCCUUCCAUCUUCAACCGGAUCAACGAAACCAGCAAACCCACCGAUCGUCCUCUCUGUCUCAGGUGCGGCACCCCCGGGAUGGCCUAGCAACAUCCCACGAUGUUGAUUUCUCCAGUUUUGUGUCACCGUUUCUCGCUUGCCCUCUGUCCAGCAACGUUGAGCAGAAACGGAUGCAGCCUCAUCAUCUCUUCUCUCCGUCCAUCAACCACCGAAGACCAGUAAAAUUGCUGCAGUUGCCCGUGUCGUCCGUUGCUCCACCGAAGCCAUGCAUCCAGUCAACACCAGUUGAUCCCCUGCCCGUGUGUUGACUCCAGCAAGCGGCCGAAGCUGUUCUCUCCUUCGAUCUUGCCACGCGUGGUCUUCUCCAGCUCGCGGCCACCGAAGUCCAGUUUCCUCAACUCCUUCGCUGUCUCUGUUGACCGGACUUGCUGCCCCGCGCGAAGCCGAUGGAUUUCGGCCCAGCAACCUUCAAUUUCACGGGCCCAAGAGCCCCGUGAUUUUCAUCCGAGCAAGCCACGAUUUCUUCAAGCCCAGCGAAUCUUCUUCAGCCCAUCUUUAGUUGUUGUCCAGCUCAUUUGAAGCCCAGCAGCAGCCCAUGUGAAAUUGAGCGAAGCCCAGCCCACGAGGAAGGCCCAACCAUAGCCAAGUCCAAGCCCAGUGAUUUUUGUGGGCCUACAAGGCUUGUAGGCUUGGCCCGAGCGUCCGCCGAUGCCGCCGAAAUUUUGGGAUUCGGCCGCCGCCACGCUACCGUCGCGGUGAUUUGGUCUCGGCUUUUAACCAAGUGAGUAAUCUCACUAAUCCUUUCUUAGUAGACUAAUGAUGCUUAAGGGUUGGUUAGAUUUAAUUAAGUGCAAUUAGGUGGUUAGAUUAGCAUGGAUUAGUGGUUAUUAGUUAAUUGCAUUGCAUAUUAGUUAGGUGGUUAGUGUACUUAGCUAGAGAUCUGCCUAUACUAUUUAUUGAAUGUAUCUCGGGAUUUUUCCCGACCCUUAUCGGGCUUCAAUUAGGCAUUUUGGGCCUAAAUUGGAUUUGUCGUAUUUAUUUAUUAAUUUUCGAAAUUAAUUAUUUAAUUAUUUAUUUUUCAGAAAUUAGGCAAGGAUAGCCGACGACCAAAAUUUUAUGCUAAUCGUCGUGGUGCAGUUCGUUUAUUUAAUUGAAUUCUACGUUGUGUUGAAUUGAAUAAAUUGUGGAUUAUUAGGACAUAUUCCUAAAUGAGUUAAUUUUGAGUAAUUGAUCGAAGAACAACCGGGUAUCGGUUGUCAGUGUUUAAUUGAUUGGUGAACUACAAAAUAUUGUGAAAGUCAAGUAAGAUUGGUGAAUAUAGGAAAAUGUCCCAAAAUUAAGAAGUGUCGUUAUUUGAAAGGAAAAUAACCGUGUGAGGUUGUGAGUUUAAUACAUAAUUGCCGAGUAGGGCCGUGAUGCCACUACAUAUAAAUUGCCGAGUGGGGCCGUGAUGCCACUAAAUAUUGAAAGCUUCCAAGUGGGGCCGGGAUGCCACUAAAUCUAAGAAAAUUGCUCGGUAGGGCCGUGAUUACCACCUAUAAAUAAGUUGUGUCCUUUAGGACCGGGAUUUAUAGCCAAGAAAUUGAUAGGCUAGGCUCAUUGAGCCGUUAGUAAGAAUUUGAAAUGGAAUGACUAAAAUGACCGAUGAGUAGUCUUGUUGUCAUGUAAUCGACUAAGUCGAUUGAUCAAUGAUUUGAUUUGAUGUUGUGGAUUGACUGCUUGAGUGGAAGUGACUUUGAAUGGUCCGAUUGACAUGUAAUCGACUAGGUCGAUUGAUCGAGAUAUCGAUCUGUGAUAUGAUUGCUAGGGUGCCUAUUGAAUUGUGCUAAUGUGCAGGUGGAAUCUAAGGCUAAGGUAAGUCCUCUGACCCGUGCGUGUAUAGGCAGCCCGGUUAGCAUAUUGGUUUCCUAAUCGAGUCUUAGUGGGGUAGAACUUGUUGAGAUAUAGUCUCAUCCCGGUUGUGGGACAACAUUUCAGGCCCGUAGAUGAGCCUGUGAAGAAGGAGCCAGAAGAGGACGAUGACCCAGUAAAAGAUGAAGAGCUUGAAGGAUGUGAGCUUAGUGAAGAAGAGUCAGAAGAGGAUCAUGAUGAUCCUGAGUAUGACCCGGAUGAGGAUUGAUAUCUUAUCCUCUUUUGUGAACCUUGUGUUAUAUAUAUAAAGUGUGACUAGAAUGUUAUGAAUAGUCUUGCGAAUAGACUUUGAGUUAUGCCAUGUAUAAAGGUUCAGUUGUGAAUUUCAAUAUGAAAAAUA
RNAcentral lists this long non-coding RNA (2774 nucleotides) under Eucalyptus grandis. Its description in RNAcentral is "long non-coding RNA (EGRA_LNC006727)". Lineage: Eukaryota; Viridiplantae; Streptophyta; Magnoliopsida; Myrtales; Myrtaceae. The record is from RNAcentral.